GGAUGCUACACAUCCAUGGGGCAGAGGAUAAGAGGUUCCUGAAGGCAUCACCCCUAUGGCCGUGACUGGUGUGCAGAGGAAACUGGAGAUUUGGAGUAGCCUGUUGUCCUACUGACUCUUAGACUGUCCCAGCUAAGAAGAACCAACUCCUCCUAUUACAGAUAAAAUAAACAAAGCUGCUCAGGCUCUCUAGUGUCGCCCUGACAGUCAUCAUGCAUCCGCUUGUCAUUUCCCUCCUGCCCCCCUGAUUUUCUGGAAAAGGGAGAAAGUGUGCGGAAAAAAAAAAAAAAAAAGCACAACUACUUCUGUUAACUUUAUAGAUGUCUGGUUCCUCCAUAUGAGGGUGUGCUUGAAUCAAUUUGGGAGGGAGGGUUUCUAAAGUCUCUCUAGACUCUAUUAAUUUUGCUAGAGACAAUAAAAGGCAGCAGGACCAACGCUAUGUGGUGGGAGAUCUAGCAACCAUUGUAGUCACAAUAGCCACCGCUUACCGAACACCCACCAUGUGACAAAGAACUGUGCAUGAGUUAUCUCACAUUUUUCACAAGCACGCCUUGAUUUGGGAGUUCACUCAUGAGGCAAUUGAGGUUCAGGGAGAUGAAGUAACUCGCCCAAGGUGGCACCCUGUAGGUAGUAGGGCUGAGAUCUGGACAUAGAUCUUGCCUCCAAACCUUUGUCUUUUUUCUUUUUCCUACUACAGCACACCAAAGAGAGUUCUAGAAAAAACGAGAAAAAGGAAUUUACCUGUAAUCCUUGCUCAAGAAACCGAAGCUCUGAGGCCACGUUGUCCCAACCUUUUGCAGCUCCUGCACGUGGAUACCAGCACCAGCAGCUCCCCAGCCAGGGGCCCCAGCUAAGCUCUCCCAGAGGAUGAUCUUGGCUUUGUACCUGGGGUGCCAAUAUCCUGUGAGUCCAACAGAGGGAAGACAUAAGAGUAUGGUCACCCAGGUAAGUGGUAGACAGCUGAGUGACUAUAUUCUUGCUCACCACCACCCCCAUCAGAGGUCAAGCAAAGGGAUAUAGACCGUGUGGAAAUAUGGCACAUCAGGGGUGCUUGGUGUAAUAAGAAACAACUAAAAAAACAAAGGAGGGGAUGUGGCUCUAAAAGUUAUCAACUGUCAAUCAGCCUUGACCAUAAAAAGUUAGCCAAAGAAAGACUUGGGCCCAGAGGUUUUGUACAGAGGAAAUCCAGGCUCCUAACAAGGGCGAAAGAUGGGAAUAGAAGGAUCAGAACAUUGAGCUGGAUCUUCGGUUCAUUUCAGGUAUAGAGAAGGGUAAAUGGUCUGUAAAGAUGGCCGACCCCAAUGAAAUUGCCUUCCAAGGCCUUGUCCACUCAACGACAUGUUGCAUGCCUGAAACUCAGUAUACAGGAAAAGGAUAGAAAUGGAAUAAGAUGGAAACCCAUAAAUCAGAGGACCCUGCCAUGCAGUUUCAAACCACUGACUUGAUGAAAUGUUGAUCCACUUUGCCAUGGAUGCCCCACUUUUUAACUUCUUCUUCAGAGUCCCAGGAAGUAAGGCUCUUCUGUUUAACUGAUUUGCGGAAUUUUUGCUUCUGCUAUUAUAAUGGCUUCCAUAGUUGAGUACCAAAGAC
Molecule: long non-coding RNA, 1590 nt
Filed under: Papio anubis (olive baboon)
Lineage: Eukaryota; Metazoa; Chordata; Mammalia; Primates; Cercopithecidae
Description: lncRNA (ENSPANG00000042815.1)
Source: RNAcentral